CCUACGGGAGGCAGCAGUGGGGAAUCUUGCGCAAUGGCCGAAAGGCUGACGCAGCGACGCCGCGUGCGGGAUGACGCUUUUCGGAGUGUAAACCACUGUCAGGUGGGACGAAGGUCCCGGGGAGGAAAUGCCCUGGGGAUGACGGUACCACCAGAGGAAGCACCGGCUAACUUCGUGCCAGCAGCCGCGGUAAU
This 194-nucleotide ribosomal RNA is filed under the name uncultured bacterium. Its description in RNAcentral is "partial 16S ribosomal RNA". It matches the Rfam family "Bacterial small subunit ribosomal RNA", at positions 338 to 524 of the family's 1533-position model. The record is from RNAcentral.